GGAUUAGAUACCCUGGUAGUCCACGCCGUAAACGAUGGAUACUAGCUGUUCGAUCAACACUGGUUGAUUGAGUGGUUAAGCGAAAGUGAUAAGUAUCCCACCUGGGGAGUACGCUCGCAAGACUAAAACUCAAAGGAAUUGACGGGACCCCGCACAAGCGGCGGAGCAUGCGGCUUAAUUCGAUGAUACCCGUAGAACCUUACCAGGGUUUAAAUGCAGAACGACAGGGGUGGAAACACCCCCUUCUUCGGACGGACUGCAAGGUGCUGCAUGGUUGUCGUCAGCUCGUGCCG
RNAcentral lists this ribosomal RNA (293 nucleotides) under uncultured bacterium. RNAcentral describes it as "partial 16S ribosomal RNA". It matches the Rfam family "Bacterial small subunit ribosomal RNA", at positions 775 to 1067 of the family's 1533-position model. The record is from RNAcentral.